CAGGAUGAACGCUAGCGACAGGCUUAACACAUGCAAGUCGAGGGGUAACAGGGUAGCAAUACCGCUGACGACCGGCGCACGGGUGAGUAACGCGUAUGCAACCUGCCUAUAACUGGGGAAUAGCUCCCUGAAAGGGGGAAUUAACACCGCAUAACACUAUUGAUUCGCGAUGGAUUAGUAGUUAAAUGUAGCGAUACAGGUUAUAGAUGGGCAUGCGUGACAUUAGCUAGUUGGUGAGGUAACGGCUCACCAAGGCUACGAUGUCUAGGGGUUCUGAGAGGAAGGUCCCCCACACUGGUACUGAGACACGGACCAGACUCCUACGGGAGGCAGCAGUGAGGAAUAUUGGUCAAUGGGCGCAAGCCUGAACCAGCCAUGUCGCGUGCAGGAAGACUGCCCUAUGGGUUGUAAACUGCUUUUAUAGUAGAAGAAACACAUCUACGCGUAGAUGUCUGCCAGUAUACUAUGAAUAAGCAUCGGCUAACUCCGUGCCAGCAGCCGC
This 502-nucleotide ribosomal RNA is filed under the name uncultured bacterium. RNAcentral describes it as "bacterial SSU rRNA". It matches the Rfam family "Bacterial small subunit ribosomal RNA", at positions 25 to 518 of the family's 1533-position model. The record is from RNAcentral.